RNAcentral lists this ribosomal RNA (465 nucleotides) under uncultured Lysinibacillus sp. Its description in RNAcentral is "bacterial SSU rRNA". It matches the Rfam family "Bacterial small subunit ribosomal RNA", at positions 338 to 795 of the family's 1533-position model. Lineage: Bacteria; Bacillati; Bacillota; Bacilli; Caryophanales; Bacillaceae. The record is from RNAcentral.
CCUACGGGCGGCUGCAGUGGGGAAUCUUCCACAAUGGGCGAAAGCCUGAUGGAGCAACGCCGCGUGAGUGAAGAAGGUUUUCGGAUCGUAAAACUCUGUUGUAAGGGAAGAACAAGUACAGUAGUAACUGGCUGUACCUUGACGGUACCUUAUUAGAAAGCCACGGCUAACUACGUGCCAGCAGCCGCGGUAAUACGUAGGUGGCAAGCGUUGUCCGGAAUUAUUGGGCGUAAAGCGCGCGCAGGUGGUUUCUUAAGUCUGAUGUGAAAGCCCACGGCUCAACCGUGGAGGGUCAUUGGAAACUGGGAGACUUGAGUGCAGAAGAGGAAAGUGGAAUUCCAAGUGUAGCGGUGAAAUGCGUAGAGAUUUGGAGGAACACCAGUGGCGAAGGCGACUUUCUGGUCUGUAACUGACACUGAGGCGCGAAAGCGUGGGGAGCAAACAGGCUUAGAUACCCCGGUAGUC